AGUUAUAACCCGGGGACACAUGCGAACCAGUAGUUUUCAGAGGCUGAAAACUCAGAUGCAAAAGGCUUGGCGAUGGGGUGGCAAUUCGCGGGAACAAGAUUAUAGUUUCAAUCCUGAGGUCUUGGCAAAUCAGAAACGUCAGUGGUAUCAGCUUCAUUCCAAAACUCUGGACCAUACAAAAUUUAAGGAGCCCGCCUCACUAUUUGAACACUUUGUUAUUGUGGGGCUUCAUCCUAAUGCCAAUCUUGAGGCUGUGGAGGAUGUAUUUGCAAGAAGAAAGAAAUGGGAGUUUGAGGCGGCAAAAUCUGAUAUAAUAGCAUACAGAAGGG
This 329-nucleotide unclassified non-coding RNA is filed under the name Hevea brasiliensis (rubber tree). The record is from RNAcentral. Lineage: Eukaryota; Viridiplantae; Streptophyta; Magnoliopsida; Malpighiales; Euphorbiaceae.